This 652-nucleotide ribosomal RNA is filed under the name Vibrio sp. MR06-62. RNAcentral describes it as "bacterial SSU rRNA". It matches the Rfam family "Bacterial small subunit ribosomal RNA", at positions 36 to 672 of the family's 1533-position model. Lineage: Bacteria; Pseudomonadati; Pseudomonadota; Gammaproteobacteria; Vibrionales; Vibrionaceae. The record is from RNAcentral.
CUUCGUCUCUAGUUUGAUGCAGUCGAGCGGAGCGACAAUAACAAUCCUUCGGGUGCGUUAAUGGGCGUCGAGCGGCGGACGGGUGAGUAAUGCCUAGGAAAUUGCCUUGAUGUGGGGGAUAACCAUUGGAAACGAUGGCUAAUACCGCAUGAUGCCUACGGGCCAAAGAGGGGGACCUUCGGGCCUCUCGCGUCAAGAUAUGCCUAGGUGGGAUUAGCUAGUUGGUGAGGUAAUGGCUCACCAAGGCGACGAUCCCUAGCUGGUCUGAGAGGAUGAUCAGCCACACUGGAACUGAGACACGGUCCAGACUCCUACGGGAGGCAGCAGUGGGGAAUAUUGCACAAUGGGCGAAAGCCUGAUGCAGCCAUGCCGCGUGUAUGAAGAAGGCCUUCGGGUUGUAAAGUACUUUCAGUUGUGAGGAAGGGGGUGUAGUUAAUAGCUGCAUCUCUUGACGUUAGCAACAGAAGAAGCACCGGCUAACUCCGUGCCAGCAGCCGCGGUAAUACGGAGGGUGCGAGCGUUAAUCGGAAUUACUGGGCGUAAAGCGCAUGCAGGUGGUUCAUUAAGUCAGAUGUGAAAGCCCGGGGCUCAACCUCGGAACUGCAUUUGAAACUGGUGAACUAGAGUACUGUAGAGGGGGGUAGAAUUUCAG